GAGUUUGAUCGUGGCUCAGAUUGAACGCUGGCGGCAUGCCUUACACAUGCAAGUCGAACGGCAGCACGGGAGCUUGCUCCUGGUGGCGAGUGGCGAACGGGUGAGUAAUGCAUCGGAACGUAUCCUGGAGUGGGGGAUAACGUAGCGAAAGUUACGCUAAUACCGCAUAUUCUGUGAGCAGGAAAGCGGGGGACCUUCGGGCCUUGCGCUAUCAGAUGAGCCUAGGUCGGAUUAGCUAGUUGGUGGGGUAAUGGCUCACCAAGGCGACGAUCCGUAACUGGUCUGAGAGGAUGAUCAGUCACACUGGAACUGAGACACGGUCCAGACUCCUACGGGAGGCAGCAGUGGGAAUAUUGGACAAUGGGCGAAAGCCUGAUCCAGCCAUGCCGCGUGUGUGAAGAAGGUCUUCGGAUUGUAAAG
Molecule: ribosomal RNA, 420 nt
Filed under: bacterium enrichment culture clone ALO1_GLFRUDD03FUWHM
Lineage: Bacteria
Description: bacterial SSU rRNA
Rfam family: Bacterial small subunit ribosomal RNA
Source: RNAcentral